Fukomys damarensis (Damara mole-rat) is the source of this 300-nucleotide unclassified non-coding RNA. Its record names the gene 7SK. It matches the Rfam family "7SK RNA". Rfam says of the family: 7SK was discovered as an abundant small nuclear RNA in the mid-70s but a possible function has only recently been suggested. Two independent studies have found that 7SK RNA binds the CDK9/cyclin T complex (known as elongation factor P-TEFb). Lineage: Eukaryota; Metazoa; Chordata; Mammalia; Rodentia; Bathyergidae. The record is from Ensembl.
GGAUGUGAGAGAGAUCUGGCUGCAACAUCUAUCACCCCAUUGAUCACCAGGGUUGAUUUGGCUGAUAUGGCUGGCUAUGGGUGUCCUCUUCUUCCCUCACUGCUCCAUGUCUGUCCCUCCCAAAGCUGCAUGCUAAGUCCAAGUGGACAACCACCUGCAAUAGAGGAUGACUGUUUCCUUGGUCAAGGGUAUAUAAGUAGCUGUUCUCCUUUGUUAGAACCUCCCAACAAGCUUCCAAGGUCCUGAAGUGGAUAGGAAUAUACAUAUAAUUAUGUAGUAGGUGUCCACCUAUUUCUAAUA